CGGCGAGCGAACGGGGAGCAGCCCAGAGCCUGAAUCAGUAUGUGUGUUAGUGGAAGCGUCUGGAAAGGCGCGCGAUACAGGGUGACAGCCCCGUACACAAAAAUGCACAUGCUGUGAGCUCGAUGAGUAGGGCGGGACACGUGGUAUCCUGUCUGAAUAUGGGGGGACCAUCCUCCAAGGCUAAAUACUCCUGACUGACCGAUAGUGAACCAGUACCGUGAGGGAAAGGCGAAAAGAACCCCGGCGAGGGGAGUGAAAAAGAACCUGAAACCGUGUACGUACAAGCAGUGGGAGCACGCUUAGGCGUGUGACUGCGUACCUUUUGUAUAAUGGGUCAGCGACUUAUAUUCUGUAGCAAGGUUAACCGAAUAGGGGAGCCGAAGGGAAACCGAGUCUUAACUGGGCGUUAAGUUGCAGGGUAUAGACCCGAAACCCGGUGAUCUAGCCAUGGGCAGGUUGAAGGUUGGGUAACACUAACUGGAGGACCGAACCGACUAAUGUUGAAAAAUUAGCGGAUGACUUGUGGCUGGGGGUGAAAGGCCAAUCAAACCGGGAGAUAGCUGGUUCUCCCCGAAAGCUAUUUAGGUAGCGCCUCGUGAAUUCAUCUCCGGGGGUAGAGCACUGUUUCGGCAAGGGGGUCAUCCCGACUUACCAACCCGAUGCAAACUGCGAAUACCGGAGAAUGUUAUCACGGGAGACACACGGCGGGUGCUAACGUCCGUCGUGAAGAGGGAAACAACCCAGACCGCCAGCUAAGGUCCCAAAGUCAUGGUUAAGUGGGAAACGAUGUGGGAAGGCCCAGACAGCCAGGAUGUUGGCUUAGAAGCAGCCAUCAUUUAAAGAAAGCGUAAUAGCUCACUGGUCGAGUCGGCCUGCGCGGAAGAUGUAACGGGGCUAAACCAUGCAC
Molecule: ribosomal RNA, 907 nt
Filed under: Escherichia coli
Lineage: Bacteria; Pseudomonadati; Pseudomonadota; Gammaproteobacteria; Enterobacterales; Enterobacteriaceae
Description: partial 23S ribosomal RNA
Rfam family: Bacterial large subunit ribosomal RNA
Source: RNAcentral